This 79-nucleotide ribosomal RNA is filed under the name Clonostachys rosea. RNAcentral describes it as "partial 5.8S ribosomal RNA". It matches the Rfam family "5.8S ribosomal RNA", at positions 79 to 154 of the family's 154-position model. Rfam says of the family: 5.8S ribosomal RNA (5.8S rRNA) is a component of the large subunit of the eukaryotic ribosome. It is transcribed by RNA polymerase I as part of the 45S precursor that also contains 18S and 28S rRNA. Functionally, it is thought that 5.8S rRNA may be involved in ribosome translocation. Lineage: Eukaryota; Fungi; Ascomycota; Sordariomycetes; Hypocreales; Bionectriaceae. The record is from RNAcentral.
AUUCAGUGAAUCAUCGAAUCUUUGAACGCACAUUGCGCCCGCCAGUAUUCUGGCGGGCAUGCCUGUCUGAGCGUCAUUU